UACAGGGGGGGCAAGCGUUGUUCGGAAUUACUGGGCGUAAAGGGUUCGUAGGUGGCCAACUAAGUCAGACGUGAAAUCCCUCAGCUUAACUGGGGAACUGCGUCUGAUACUGGAUGGCUUGAGUGUAGGAGAGGAAUGCGGAAUUCCAGGUGUAGCGGUGAAAUGCGUAGAUAUCUGGAGGAACACCGGUGGCGAAGGCGGCACUCUGGGCCGAUACUGACACUGAGGAGCGAAAGCGUGGGGAGCGAACAGG
Molecule: ribosomal RNA, 253 nt
Filed under: uncultured bacterium
Lineage: Bacteria
Description: partial 16S ribosomal RNA
Rfam family: Bacterial small subunit ribosomal RNA
Source: RNAcentral